Molecule: ribosomal RNA, 497 nt
Filed under: uncultured bacterium
Lineage: Bacteria
Description: partial 16S ribosomal RNA
Rfam family: Bacterial small subunit ribosomal RNA
Source: RNAcentral
GAUGAACGCUGGCGGCGUGCCUAAUACAUGCAAGUCGAGCGAACAGAUGAUGAGCUUGCUCCUCUGACGUUAGCGGCGGACGGGUGAGUAACACGUGGAUAACCUACCUAUAAGACUGGGAUAAAUUCGGGAAACCGGAGCUAAUACCGGAUAAUAUAUUGAACCGCAUGGUUCAAUAGUGAAAGACGGUUUUGCUGUCACUUAUAGAUGGAUCCGCGCCGCAUUAGCUAGUUGGUAAGGUAACGGCUUACCAAGGCAACGAUGCGUAGCCGACCUGAGAGGAUGAUCAGCCACACUGGAACAGAGACACGGUCCAGAAUCCUACGGGAGGCAGCAGUAGGGAAUCGUCCGCAAUGGGCGAAAGCCUGACGGAGCAAGGCCGCGUGAGUGAUGAAGGUCUUCGGAUCGUAAAACUCUGUUAUUAGGGAAGAACAAAUGUGUAAGGAAAUAUGCACGUCUUGACGGUACCUAAUCAGAAAGCCACGGCUAACUACGUG